UGCCAGCCGCCGCGGUAAUACGGAGGGGGUUAGCGUUGUUCGGAAUUACUGGGCGUAAAGCGUACGUAGGCGGAUUAAUAAGUUAGAGGUGAAAUCCCAGGGCUCAACCCUGGAACUGCCUUUAAAACUGUUAGUCUUGAGAUCGAGAGAGGUGAGUGGAAUUCCAAGUGUAGAGGUGAAAUGCGUAGAUAUCGGGAAGAACACCAGUGGCGAAGGCGCUCUGCUGGCUCGAUACUGACGCUGAGGUGCGAAAGUGUGGGGAGCAAACAGGAUUAGAUA
Molecule: ribosomal RNA, 279 nt
Filed under: uncultured bacterium
Lineage: Bacteria
Description: partial 16S ribosomal RNA
Rfam family: Bacterial small subunit ribosomal RNA
Source: RNAcentral